RNAcentral lists this transfer RNA (74 nucleotides) under Maioricimonas rarisocia. It matches the Rfam family "tRNA". Rfam says of the family: Transfer RNA (tRNA) molecules are approximately 80 nucleotides in length. Their secondary structure includes four short double-helical elements and three loops (D, anti-codon, and T loops). Lineage: Bacteria; Pseudomonadati; Planctomycetota; Planctomycetia; Planctomycetales; Planctomycetaceae. The record is from Rfam by way of RNAcentral.
GGCACGGUACGCCAACAGGUAGAGCGACCAGUUUCAGAGACUGGUGGAUGGGGGUUCGAAUCCCUCUCGUGUCA